RNAcentral lists this long non-coding RNA (2418 nucleotides) under Lactuca sativa (garden lettuce). Its description in RNAcentral is "long non-coding RNA (LSAT_LNC004763)". The record is from RNAcentral. Lineage: Eukaryota; Viridiplantae; Streptophyta; Magnoliopsida; Asterales; Asteraceae.
UUUCAUCAGUAUUGACCACUGUGGUAGCAUGUUGUCCGAUUGUUGUUUCUUUUAUAUCCUCACUGGAUGCAUUUUGUGAGCUUGUAACAUCAUCUUCACCAUCUUGGACUUCUUCUGACAUUUUGAGGUCUUUUUCUUUUGCUUGAUUUUCCUCUUUGCUCACUGUUUCAUCCUCAUUCAAUUCAGAUUCAACCUUCUCUAAUCCUGUCACUUCAUGGACUUCCUUAACCAGGGAGCUUUCAGACUUUUCUGUUUGACCAUCAUCAUUGACUACAUCCUCCUUUUUUUCUAUGGUUUCGACACUAGAUUUGAUUUCUUCAGUGUCUUCCUCUAUACUUUCUCUAGUUUCAAAAAACUCAGGUUCUUUACCUUCUUCUUGGUAGUUCUUUUUUUGCAAGUCUUCUUCUAAUGCUGCAACCUGUGAGGUUGUUACAUUGUCCUCACCUUGACCUUCUGCCGACAUGUUGACCUGAUCCUUUUCUUGAUCUUCAUCUUUAAAAGUUUCUAUUGCUUUUAUCCCUUCUUCAGAUUCAACCUUUUCCGAACUAGUCUCAUCACAUACCUCUUUGACAGAGUGGAUAGGAGGCGUUUCCAUUUGAUCAUCAUCAUGCUCAAUAGGCUCUUUGUUUUUUUCUUCAGUUUCUGUUUUCUCUUCUUGAGAUUCCACUUGUGCUGAUGUGAAAACAUCAGUUGUGAUGGCAUGUGGCAACUCUCCUUGCUCCACUUUUUCUUUUGUUUUAACAUUUGUGCUUAUAAGUUCAUUAUCUUCCUCCAUGCUUUCUCUAGUUUCAAAAAAUACAUCCUCAGAGGCUGCAACUGUAUCCUGUGAGCAUAUAACUUCAUCCUCACUUUGGUCUUUUUCUGGUAUGUUGAGCUCUUGUUCCUUUUCUUGAUAUUCAUCUUUGCUUAAAAUUUCUAUUUCUUUCUCAUUCUGAUACAUAUCGGAAUUUAUCCCUUCUUCAGAUACAGUCUUCUUUAAGUCAGUCUCUUCACAUACUUCCUGUUGCUCCUUUUCAUCUGUUUCAACACUUGGUUUGAUUUCUUCAGUAUACAUCUCUUGCUCAAAAAUUAUGCUGGCACUUUCUUCUAUUUUAUCUUUUGCUCCAUUAUCAUCAUACUGCUCGCUUGCCUAUAUGAAGAGUGUAUUUUGAGUACAUGGGCAGAAUGGACAAUACAGAACUUGGUAAGUCUAAUGUAUAGUCAAAGUUUGUAAAACAAUCUGUGUAACAGCUUAGUUUAUUGGUCUCUUUUUCAAAAGAAAAUUAUGAGCAGCAUUUGCUCUAAAGUCUAAACUACUUUAUAAAACGGGUUUCCCUUAGAAUUUAUCAUUUUCAUAAAUAUCCACAACUUGCUUUUCUUCUAGUUCUAUACCCCUCCCCAAUUGUACUGUUCAAUUGAAUAAAUCAAGUUCUGUAUUUGAAGUUACACUUAAUAUGCUCUAUAAAAUAUGUAUUUUAUCUUGUUUAGGGCCCUUAAAAUGGUCUAAUAUAUAUAUAUNNNNNNNNNNNNNNNNNNNUAUAUAUAUAUAUAUAUAUAUAUAUAUUUGUAAGAGAUACUUGAACUACCGAGUUGAACAACUUAUGCAUUUGUUACUUUCUCAAACACAUGAGAUGAGAAAUUUUGUAGCAGACAACAUAAUGUCUUGAUAAUUUUAGCAUUGCAAGUUUAGUUGGAAUGAUGUACAAGUAAAACCUUUUGAAAUAAUUAGAGAUUACUUAAGAUGAACAUAAAUUACCUCUUGAGCAUGAAUUGAUUUGUCUUCUAUUUCUUCCUUGAGGAUCUCUUUGGUCAAUGCACUAUCAUCUUUGCUCUCCUCAAAAUCAACCACUGUGGUAACAUGUUGACCAAUUGUUGACUCUUGUAUAUCCUCACACGUUGCAUCUUCUGAACUUGUAACGGCAUCCCCACCACCUUGGACUUCUUCUGGCAUUUUGAGUUCAUGUUCCUUUUCUUGAUUUUCCUCUUUGCUCACUAUCUCAUUCUCAUUCAAUUCAGGUUUAGCCUUCUCUGAUCCUGUCACUUCACACACCUCCUUAACCAAUGGGCUUUCAAACUCAUCAUUGACUAUAGCAUCUUCCUCAAUCUUUUCUUCAUUUUCCAUAGUUUCUUUUUUAGGUUCUAUUUCUGUUGAGCUGCAAACAUCAGUAGUAAUGACAUGCAGCAACCCUUGUUGCUCCAUAUUUUCUUUUGUUUCUAUACUAGAUUCGAUUUCUUCAAUGUUUUCCUCUACACUUUCUCUCGUUUCAACAACUUCAGGUUCUUUACCUUCUUCUUGGUAGUUCUUUUCUUGCAAGUCUUCUUCUAAGGCUGCAACCUGUGAGCUUGUUACAUUAUCCUCGCCUUGACCUUCUGUUGACAUGUCAACCUGAUCCUUUUCUUGUUCUUCAUCCUUGAAAGUUUCAAUAGCUUUUACCUCUU